RNAcentral lists this ribosomal RNA (420 nucleotides) under uncultured bacterium. Its description in RNAcentral is "bacterial SSU rRNA". It matches the Rfam family "Bacterial small subunit ribosomal RNA", at positions 355 to 772 of the family's 1533-position model. The record is from RNAcentral.
UGAGGAAUAUUGGGCAAUGCCCGCAAGGGUGACCCAGCAACGCCGCGUGGAGGAUGAAUGUCGUAAGAUUGUAAACUCCUGUUAGAGGGGAAGAAUAGUACCGGUUGGACCGGUAUAUGACUGUACCCUCAGAGAAAGCCCCGGCUAACUACGUGCCAGCAGCCGCGGUAAUCCGUAGGGGGCAAGCGUUGUCCGGAUUUACUGGGUGUAAAGGGCGCGCAGGCGGGAUAAAAAGUCAGUGGUGAAAUCCUACAGCUUAACUGUAGAACUGUCUUUGAUACUUUUAUUCUUGAGUUCGGGAGAGAGAGACGGAAUUCCUGGUGUAGUGGUGAAAUACGUAGAUAUCUGGAAGAACACCAGUUGCGAAGGCGGUCUCUUGGUCCGACACUGACGCUGAGGCGCGAAAGCGUGGGGAGCAAA